CAGUCGCCGCGGGAAUACGUAGGUGGCAAGCGUUGUCCGGAAUUAUUGGGCGUAAAGGGCUCGCAGGCGGUUUCUUAAGUCUGAUGUGAAAGCCCCCGGCUCAACCGGGGAGGGUCAUUGGAAACUGGGAAACUUGAGUGCAGAAGAGGAGAGUGGAAUUCCACGUGUAGCGGUGAAAUGCGUAGAGAUGUGGAGGAACACCAGUGGCGAAGGCGACUCUCUGGUCUGUAACUGACGCUGAGGAGCGAAAGCGUGGGGAGCGAACAGGAUUAGAUACCCCGGUAGUCCCUGUCUCUUAUAA
Molecule: ribosomal RNA, 301 nt
Filed under: uncultured bacterium
Lineage: Bacteria
Description: partial 16S ribosomal RNA
Rfam family: Bacterial small subunit ribosomal RNA
Source: RNAcentral